Molecule: transfer RNA, 74 nt
Filed under: Candidatus Equicola stercoris
Lineage: Bacteria; Pseudomonadati; Bacteroidota; Bacteroidia; Bacteroidales; Bacteroidaceae
Description: tRNA-Arg
Rfam family: tRNA
About the family: Transfer RNA (tRNA) molecules are approximately 80 nucleotides in length. Their secondary structure includes four short double-helical elements and three loops (D, anti-codon, and T loops).
Source: RNAcentral
GGUUCCGUAGCUCAACUGGAUAGAGCAACUGCCUUCUAAGCAGUAGGUUUCGGGUUCGAGUCCCGACGGAAUCA